AGCUCUUUAGUUAGGUAACACAAGGAAAAAGCCUUGUUUGUAGGUUCAAUUCCUGCAGGGGCUA
This 64-nucleotide transfer RNA is filed under the name Salix viminalis (osier). Lineage: Eukaryota; Viridiplantae; Streptophyta; Magnoliopsida; Malpighiales; Salicaceae. RNAcentral also lists the same sequence under 1 other name. The record is from RNAcentral.